Onychostruthus taczanowskii (white-rumped snowfinch) is the source of this 1695-nucleotide RNA transcript. It is a transcript of the gene named transmembrane protein 230, with no coding region annotated. The transcript is spliced from 5 exons. NCBI's taxonomy places the organism in Eukaryota, Metazoa, Chordata, Aves, Passeriformes, Passeridae. The record is from RefSeq and is a predicted model, not a curated record.
GUGCGUUUAAGUGGCUUCAGGUGGAUUUGGGGUGUUUCGGUGGAUUUUGGGCUGUAGCUGAACACCAGCCCCCCCUGGAAUGAUGCCAUCCAGGACCAAUCUCUCCGCUGGGAUCCCCAGCAGCAAAGUCAAAUAUUCCAAACUCUCCAGCACCGACGAUGGAUACAUUGACCUGCAGUUCAAGAAGAGCCCACCCAAAAUCCCCUACAAGGCCAUCGCACUGGCUGUGGUGCUCUUCAUGAUCGGGACCUUCCUCAUCAUCAUCGGAGCCCUGCUGCUGGCAGGGUACAUCAGCAAAGGGGAGACCGAGCGCGCCAUCCCCGUGCUCAUCAUCGGCAUCCUGGUGUUCCUGCCCGGCUUCUACCACCUGCGCAUCGCCUACUACGCCUCCAAGGGCUACCGGGGCUACUCCUACGACGACAUCCCCGACUUCGACGACUGAACUGUUCAUUAACCCCGCUCUAAUUAGGCUGCUCACAGCUGGUAGUUCCCCCGGGUGCUGGCGGGGCACGGCUGAGCGUCCCUGGGCGGCGCCGAGUCCCGGCCUCGAGGUGUUGCAGGUUCUCCAGUUUGGGGGUUCCAGCCUGGAAUUGAUCAAAAGGAAUUGAAAAGAACUUGGGAUUUAUGGCAUUUUUUGUUUUCCUCCCAGGAUUUUUUCUGCCCUCGAGGUGUUGCAGGUUCUCCAGUUUGGGGUUUGGGGGUUCCAGCCUGGAAUUGACCAAAAGGAAUUGAAAAGAACUUGGGAUUUAUGGGAUUUGUUUUUUUCCUCCCGGGAUUUUUUCCGGCCUCGAGGUGUUGCAGGUUCUCCAGUUUGGGGUUGGGGGGUUCCAGCCUGGAAAUGACCAAAAGGAAUUGAAAAGAACUUGGGAUUUAUGGGAUUUUUUCCUCUCAGGGUUGCAUAAUUCCGCUCUUGCUGGGCGAGGCAAUCCUUGCAAUUUUCCAAAAAUAGAUGAGCUGGUUUCAGCUGCAGAUAUUUGUUUUUUCUCUAAGUGUUUUCUAGAAUUUAUUUUAGCUUUCCAUGAGACUGUGGUUAUUGUUGGGUUACCUUUGCACAUAGACCAUCAUUAAAUUCUCCUUUUGCUCUCUGUCCAUCAGAAAUGCUUCCAAACCAGUGGUCCUGCAGUAAAUAAAGUGAUGAGAGGGAAAGCAGCAGCUGCAGGAAGGGAUUUCCACCUCCACAGCUCCCUGUCAGCCUGGCCAAGCUCACUUCCCCACAAACAAACUCCUCCUCCCCGAGCCAGCCUUCCCCGUGCCACUGUUGCUGUUGGCAAAAGCUGCUUAUCCUUCACAGGGACUGGUGCUGGAGUUUGCUUGUCAUUUAAACAACCAAAUGGAUAAUACUGGGAGAGGGAUUGGAACCCAGACUCCAGUGUCCAAAUACCAAACAUCUUGGGCUUGACUGGUGUGGGUGUUGGAGCCACUUGAACUCCAGCUGUCUGUCUUCUGGAGUCCUUUUGUCCCUGUGUAGAUGAUUUGCUGUGCAGACCUGCCCAGGCCAGUGAAGAGAAGUUCUCUGUGUAGUUUGUGCUGACCAAAGCCCCUCUGGAUUGCUUUGCCAGCUUUGCUGAUGUGGCAUUCAGGGAGAGCAGAGUGAUGGCUCCACUUCUGUGAGGUCAGACCAGGCUGUGUCCUGGACAACGAGCAGCCAUGCAAGUGGAUGCAUUUAACAUGAAUAAAGUUCUGUAUUCUCUGUAA